This 497-nucleotide ribosomal RNA is filed under the name uncultured bacterium. RNAcentral's name for it is "partial 16S ribosomal RNA". It matches the Rfam family "Bacterial small subunit ribosomal RNA", at positions 28 to 507 of the family's 1533-position model. The record is from RNAcentral.
GAUGAACGCUGGCGGCGUGCCUAAUACAUGCAAGUCGAGCGAACAGACCAGAAGCUUGCUCUUCUGUCGUUAGCGGCGGACGGGUGAGUAACACGUGGAUAACCUACCUUUUAGACUGGGAUAACUUCGGGAAACCGGUGCUAAUACCGGAUAAUAUGUUCUACCGCAUGAUUCAUUAGUGAAAGACGGCUUUGCUGUCCCUUAUAGAUUGUUCCGCGCCGCCUUAGCUUGUUGGUAAGGUAACGGCUUACCAAGGCGAAGAUGCGUAGCCGACCUGAGAGGGGGAUCGGCCACACUGGAACUGAGACACGGGCCAGACGCCUACGGGAGGGAGCAGUAGGGAAUCUUCCGCAAUGGGCGAAAGCCUGACGGAGCAACGCCGCGGGGGUGAAGAAGGGCUUCGGGUUGUAAAACUCUGUUAGUAGGGAAGAAAAAAGGUAUAAGUAAACAGGCAUGUCUGGACGGUACCUAAACAGAAAGCCACGGCUAACUACGUG